Molecule: non-coding RNA, 7488 nt
Organism: Coturnix japonica (Japanese quail)
Lineage: Eukaryota; Metazoa; Chordata; Aves; Galliformes; Phasianidae
Source: RefSeq, a predicted model, not a curated record
GUUUGUUAGAGAGGGACAAAGUAAACAGAUUGGAAUAAUUCAUUUGAGUUAACGCUCAUUGACAAGAAAACAUUAAGCAUUCUCCAGAUGAAGCAUCAGUCAUAAAAGACAGAAGGAUAAUCCUAACACUACCACACAAGUAAAUUAGUUUUCUGAUAUAUAUUCCAGCAUUGCACAAAGCUGUACCAAUUCUUAAUACUUGCAUAAUAAUAUGCACUUUUAAAUGAUGCCAGAAAUCAUUAUUACAACAGAGUGAGUUUGCUGUUUAUGUUUAUUAAUGUGGGAAAGUUGGAAGAGUUAUUAGAUAUUAAAUGUCAAUUUUAGAGUGAUUGAAGCUAAACAACUGUAAAACCGAUUGAGAAGAUUUGAGCAGAUAAAUGCAAAUGGAAGAGGAGACCACCACAUGCUGCCACAGUGGAAACACAUCUUGAUGCUAUCCCCUUCGCAUUGCAGAACAUGUGCAACCUGAUGAACCAGCUCCUUUGCAAAGUGGUGAGAGAAGGCUGAGGGCAUGGGACCAUGGUAAGUAUGAGACUGAAGCAAAUUUACCACUUUGAAUACAGAGAAUCAUUGUAUUUUAGCUCAUUAGCAUCUUUCUUGCUUACAAGUACUGGCCCAGUUUAUCUAUAUUUGUCUAUAGGUGGACCACUGAGGUUGUGUGCUUUUGUUUACUGGUGAGGUUGGAUACAAAAUUCUGCUCCAUCAUUCUGUGCCGACAAGACCACUGGAGUUGCUCCUCAAAGCUGGUACAUCAGCCUGUUAACACCUUUCCUCUAAACAGGGUGGGAGGAAAGCAGGGCAGAAUUGGCCCUUAAAAAGCAACAGCUGUGUCUGAUGAAGAUAAUGUUUAUUGGGUAUACAUGAUACAAGCAGACUGUGCUCUCAAUGAGGUGAGAUGAAGUAGGGAAAGAGAAAACAAGAAGAGCAGAGUAUAGUAGUUGUGUAGUAGAGUAGUAGAAAAGUAAACUUUUUUUUUUUUCUUGGAAACAUGCAUUUUUUGUUUAUUGGUUUGGUUUGGUUUGCUUUGUUUUCUAACAAACCCACAUUAGUCUACUUGAGUGUACUAUCUGUCCUUACAGUUUUUGCUGCUGGAAUGGUAAGCUGCCAAAGCGUAAGCUGUUGCACUAAUGUUAAUCUAACCUGUUAAAUUUCUCCCGAAUAAGCAGGUGUGAAUUGUUCCUUCAUCGCAGAAGGACUGGGAUGCAGAAUUCAUCCUGGGAAGGAAAGUCUGGAAAACUGCUUUAGUGUCUUGUGGACCAGGGGAAAAAAAAAUGGAAAACAGUUCCAUGGAGCCAUCAAUGGAAAAAAAGAAAAAAAAAAAGUCCUUUUUUUCAAUAAUUCAUUACAUUGCACUUGGAUGAUUAAUACUGGAUGAAAGUUUGGAGAAGGUUACACAGGAUGCCAAAGGGCCAUAUUUUUCUGUGGCAAAACUGAACUCUGCACCUGAGAGGCAGCUCUGGAUUUUGUAGUGAAUGGAGGAGAGCUCCAUUUUAAAAUGUUUUCUGUAUAAUAUGUUUGAUUUACUUCCUCUUAUCUGAUUCAAAGAAGCAGCAAAACUCAACACAAGUAUGAUACUCCUGUCAUUGGAAUUGUGAGGAAAAAGGCAAAGACUGAUCUCACAGCUCCACCACAGUCACAUUUCUGAGGAGGUCCCAAAAGGGAUAGUUGCCAUUGCAGUGAUAAAAACUGUGAGCAGCUUGGAGUUCAGCCAUGCCAGGGAGAGAAUAUGAUACUUCACAUGAACACGUCAAGGUUUGGCAGCAAAAAGAAAACCAGCUGAGGAUAAUAUUCCCAGCCUCAAGAGAACAUCGCCUUUGGAAAAAUGAUAGAAGAAAAAAACAGUAUGGCUAUUAUCUUUACUUAGAGGAAGACUGAUGGAGAAAAUGUGAGUAUUGCACCUUGAAAUUUUCUUCAUAUGGCAUGAAAGAUGAGGCCUUUCCGUUAGUCAAAUUGCACCUUCAAACAGAAGGAACAGUGCUGAAGGGGUUUUUUUUGUGUGUUUGUUGUUGUUUGUUUGUUUGUUUUGUUUUGUUUUGUUUUGUUUUCCUGUGGGCAGAUUUCACAUUUCAAGAAAGUUUGAGUUCUGCUCUGACUUCUAGAAAGUGACAGUCUGUUCUACAGAAAAUAUUGAAUAUUACAGAUAAUCAGAGUGUAGUUUGUAUUGUCUAUUAGCUUGAUAUUUCUUCCUCAAUUGAUGUUUUCUGUGAAAAUACAGUUCAGCCCAGUAGAAGAAGAAAAAAAUUGUGUUGUGCCACAUUAAUUUUACUUCUACAAACACAUAAAUGGUCAUGUGAUUGUUCCACAGGUUAAUUUUGUACCCCUGAGUGAGUCUUUGUCUGCUUUUUAUCUUGUUAAAACUUCCUGUUCAUAAAUAAAAUUGACUUUUUAUACUUUGCUAGGCAGUCACGAUUCGGUGACAAAUGGCUAUGAAGGCUGUCCUGUCUGCUCUGCCUUCGUUCUCACUCAGGCUCCUCUUUGUCAAGGUGAAAUAUUGUGCCCUUGUUGCUUGAACCACUGAUGCUAAAAUACAACAAAGGAAUGUAUUUUUGUUACAGAGAUGAUUGCAGUGCUGCGUUCCUCAGAAAGGCACAAACUGCAGCACAGAAUCACAAAGGAACAGAUCCAACACCAUUUGACAUAAGUGAAAAUCCUUCCGUUCAGUUCAGUAGGCUUUAAUCGGACCGGCAUUGCCUUAUUUCCCAGUUUUGUUUUGAAGUAUUCUUUACACUUAAGAGAUGAGAACUAAUCCCUUCUCUCCCUCCCUCUUGGUGUUUAUGAUCCAGGCUUUUGUAAUAGUAGCAUUUUCCUGCAAUGCCAGCAGAAUACCAAUGAAAUGCUUCUUCCCACAGUGACACAUACAAUCAUGCUCAAGUGCAAGGAAUGAUAUUUACAAUACCCUACCUGACUCUUGUUUUAGCUCACUGGAUUCCUUCAGCCAUGUCUCAUCGGUUGCUACAAAAUCCUGUGAGAACACGAGGAGCACCUACACUCACCAGAAAUACAAACUGAAUAGCUUAAAGUGCAUAGUCUUUUGACAACUGACUCACAGAUUUUCACUCUAAGAGCACAGGCCUUACUGCAUCUGUGCUGUUGUGCUACCAUGUGCCAAACUGUAGUUGACAAAGUGAUAUAGUAGAUCAUUUUAGAUGAAGCUUUUUACCAGUAGAGAAGCCAAGAAAAACUCAUGGUUUGAAUGUCUGGAACUCCUAGACCUUUUUUCAACUUCAUUUACUUUUUAAAUGCACAGUGUAGCAAAGUUAUCAGUCAGAUGUAUCGGAUAAAGGACAUCCAUAUUGCAUCUUUGUUUUUUACCAUUUUAUAAUGCUGUUGCUCCCUUAGCAGACAAAGGUUCUGGAAAUAAUCAGUGAACUCAGAACUAGAACAAAAGUGCUAAUGUGGCACCGAGUCCCUAAGUAAAUAAGCAAGUUCCAGACAAAAUCCUUUCAACAGCAUUGUAUGUCUGUGUUAGCACUGUGUUUCCUUCAGGAGUGAUCAGCAGCACUCUGGCUGCACAAAGGUGGUUAUUCACUUCGUACAGCUCUGUGCUAAAGACAGAAGAGCUUUUUGGUAGAGUAUACCACUCAAGGCUUCCAGGGAGCUACACGAGCUGCAUUUUGUGGCAUGAUUAAAGACAAAAGCAAGAAGAAAAGAAAAUCAUGGUGGGUAUUUUUGAAGGAGGAUAAAAGACAUGAAGUAAAGGCUAGUUUUGCCAGCUUCAGUGGCCAUUAGCUAAUCAGAGAUAUAAACACAUCUGUUGUUUAUCAGCCAGACAUAUAGGUACUGUAUUUUGUUACAUGAAAACAAGACCUCUGAUCCUUUAUAUAGUACAGAUUAACUCCUUUGCUUAUUUCAAAUUCACAGCUCAAAUCCACAGCACCUCAGUAGAAAACAUUGAUGUUUCAGUGAUUUUUCAGAUCUCUGAUUGUUCAGAUGCAAUGGAAUAGCCAUUCGCUUGAUUAUUAUUAUUUUUAAAUAAUUUUUAUUUUUAAUCAAAUAUAUGGGAAACCUCAUGGGACUCCUUGAUUUCAUGUGAUUGCUGCUAAUUAAGAGAUGUAGAAAACUUGAAAUAAUCAGUUCUGAUAGGAUUUUUGCCAAUUUAGUUUGAAACAGCUUGCAAGAAUUAUGCAAUCUGUGUGUUGGUCCUGAUUCAGUUUGAACUUAACACUGGGGUCUGCUUUUUAAUGUCCCCUCUGUCCAUGGCUUACUUAAGAUUCUUAUCUCCUGUUGUGGUUCUUUUUGGAGUCCAAUCUGAAACAUUCAACCUUUUUCUAAUAUAAAUGCAGUAAAUCUCUUUUCUGUCAUGAUAAUGUAAGACUACUGGGUGAAUCACUUCACGAAUUUUAACCUAAUAACUUAUUAUUUUUUUCCGAUAUAACAUGUAGGUGGAUAACGUUCCAUCACCGGUGACUGUAAUCACCUUCAGCCCCAAUUCAGCAUCACCAGUUCUGGCUUGAUUAAGUAUUUGCUGCUUCUAUUUCAUCCUCUCUUGACAGAGAUAACUUUGUUUUAAUUCAAACUGUCACAUUCUGGAGUUCAGGAAGGACACAGAAAUGUCAGGUAAUAAUCCCUCCUCAAUCUUGUGAGUAGUUAGUGCUGCUAAUAUGCAGAACCAUCAGCAUGUUGGCAUGAUUCUAACUUAAUCAUUUGCAGCAGCCCAAGCUUUGUUGAGAUCAGUUAAAGCUGAUCUGGAUAAGCGUCGCCCAACUCUACACGCUUUACCAUGUUUUUCGUGUGUAACGAUGAAUUUAAUCUGGCAACUCUUCAUGUUUCUUUGUUACUUUAUAAUUUUAAAUGCAUUUCAUCAGAAUGUGAAUAUUCCAUAAGAACAAAUGCACACAGUUUUUACUUUCAGAAAGUAAGCCAACCCAAAACAGGACCUGUGUGUGGAUGCUUUUGUCUCUAGAUGAAUGUGCUUACAAUGGGCUUGAUGUUAAAAUAAACAGCAACACUGCCUACAUUCACAAACUAAACAGGCAUCAAAAGCUACACAACACACAGAGGAUAAGGCCAAAUGUUAAUAAUCACCAUUUUUUAUGACCCUACCAUCUUACUGUAGUGAUUUGUAGGAGAACAUGUGAACCCUCAUUUUCCAAUUCUCUCUCUGUGUGGAAGCAUGAAGAAGGAUAACACUCACCCCCAGAGUUCAAACUACAGAUACAGGAAAGAGGUAUUUUCUUUUUAACAGUUAAACAUUUUACAUGUUUAGGCUACGAAGGAACCAAAGGUACAGCCUCCAGUCAUUUGCCCUGAUGAAGAUGAAACUGAGUUUUAUCUACAUUUCUAUUGUUUGUAAAUAUCAUUUUACUCUAUCUGGAAUGGGAUUACUGGUGUUCAUCACCCACCCAACCAUCCACCUACCUUUUCUGACUUCUUUUAUCCUUUGAAACAUUGGGUGGUGUUUUUUGUUCUAUCCCUAGUAGUCAGUAAUAGUUUCCACUAGUUCAAAAUCUUAUUACUUGAAUGCACUUGUUCAAAGUGCAUGACACCUGCCUUUUCUGUACAUUUAGUAAUGAUGACUAAACACAGCCAAAGGGUGGUUUUGUAGCUGAUGAGUCAAUAUAUCAAUAGGAGUAAAUGACACAGUUUUGUUCAUAAGCAAGUCUUUGUAUACAGUCAGAGUACUUCAGAGAAAACAAAUUUUCUGGGCUGAAGACUGCAAUUUGGAUUAUGUUUACCUUGCUCUUCCAUAAUGUUGCUAUGCUUGUUCACAGAGAAUCUACUUGUACUUCUGAAGCCCUUUAAUCUGAAAUGGAUCUCUUCUGAAAAUCUUUAUCUUCCUAUUUUCCUUCAUUAUGUUUGUAAUCUCCCUACAACACAUCAAAAGCAAAUAUUUUUAUAUCAGGCUCACAAACCAGGAGCAAACUAAUGGUUACUAGCUUUUAUUGCUGAACAUGAUGCUGUAUGGUAUGGGAUAUUCAACUGGUCAGUUUGGCUCAGCUGUCCUUGCUGUGCCCCCUUACAGCUUCUUGUGCACCCCCAGCCCCUUGCUGAAUCAGAAAAGUCCUUGGCUCUAUGUAAGCACUGCUCUGCAACAACUAAAACCAUUGGUGUGUUAUCACCUCUAUUUUCAUCAAAAAAUCCAAAAUAAAGCAUCACAUGGACCUGUACAAAGAAAAUUAACUUUAUCCCAGCCAAGACCAUGACAAUCCUCUGCUAAGGUUUAGUCCAAAUAGCUGCAAAAGCACGCAUAUUUAGUCUUUUUUCUUUCCUUACGGCAUAGUUUGCAUUUUUCCUGAUUGCCAAGUAUUUAGAUUAUGUGAUGCUCUUGAGCCUGCAAAAGCUACCUCCAUCAGAAUUCUUGAACUCACAUAGCUUUGAAUGGGACCUCAUAGUCAAGACUAAUCUUCACGCUACUUCACAUGCAUUAAAUUCCCUAUGCUAGGGAAAAAUACCCUGAAUAGUUCAGAAGUAAGCUGAGGUCUGAGUGACUACUGUGCCCAAAAUUUCAUUCUUUGAAAAGCAUGCUUUUAAUUUAAAAAUCACUCUUCUAGCUAUCACUAUGAAGAUCUCUCAGAUAUAGAAGAAGGUAAUUCUCUCACUCCAAAUCAGGCAGAAUGCACGCACCAUUCUCAAGUGUUAAAAUUCAAGAAUUUUAACCUUGUAAAAUCCAGAAUUCAUUUAUUUAUUGUUUCUAACACAGUCAUUAGUAUUUACUCAUAAAAAACUAUUUAAAAGAAAAGACUGACUAUUUUGAAUUCAUGAAAGAACCAUUUAUGAGUGAUCAAAUUCAAUAUCAGAUAGAUGAAAAGUUUUCCAAGAACUGAUUUCAGCUAUUUUUAAUUUAGCUUUGUAAAAGAAAGGAGAUGAAAGGCCAGAUUCUCAACUGGUAUAAAUUGGCAUUGCUUCAUACAAUGAAAUGGAGAUGUAUUCUGAUGAACACCAGCUGAAUAUCUGGCUUUGAGAUCAUCAAAGCUAGCGUGGGGUUCCAUGUGGUUAUUGUCCACACGUUUCCUAAUAUGAUGUGCUGAUAUGAAUGUAAUAGCAUAAACUAUUGAGAAAUUAACUAUUUAUAUUAUUUGUAGACAUAUAAUAUAAGCAAUCUCCCUGGCAGAGGUAAAAAGAAAAUUAAAAAAAAAAAAGAAAAAAAAAAAAAGAGAGAGAGAGAGAGAAGAAAGAGUUUGGGAGAUGGAAGAUAUAGCAAUAAACUAAUGCAAUUUUUAACAGAGUUUGUCCAAGUGAGGAGUACACUUAGCUGCAUCAGUAUAUUUGCCUUAGCUAGAGCUAAAGUUACUCUAUCAAUUAUUUUUCAGGAGGUUAUCUGAAAAGAAAAAUGUCUGAAGUCAAACAUGUCUUACAUCACCUGUUUCACAGCACCAGAAAUCUACUUUUACAUUAUCAUAUUCAAUAUCCAAACAAAAGCAGAUGAAUCCUCAAUGGUUAAUGCCCUUGGAGGACUUUGAACAGGAGAAUAAGAUUCAACUAUUUUAAAAAAAACUUGGUGGCCUCCAUAAGGGAAAAUAAAUGACAAGUGGAAAUAUAAAUGAAAAA